RNAcentral lists this ribosomal RNA (443 nucleotides) under uncultured bacterium. RNAcentral's name for it is "bacterial SSU rRNA". It matches the Rfam family "Bacterial small subunit ribosomal RNA", at positions 340 to 773 of the family's 1533-position model. The record is from RNAcentral.
UACGGAAGGCAGCAGUGGGGAAUAUUGCACAAUGGGCGAAAGCCUGAUGCAGCUAUGCCGCGUGUAUGAAGAAGGCCUUAGGGUUGUAAAGUACUUUCAUCGGGGAGGAAAAAACAAAACUAAUAAUUUUAUUUCUUGACGUUACCCGAAAAAGAAGCACCGGCUAACUCCGUGCCAGCAGCCGCGGUAAUACGGAGGGUGCUAGCGUUAAUCAGAAUUACUGGGCGUAAAGAGCACGUAGGUGGUUUUUUUAAAGUCAGAUGUGAAAUCCCUGGGCUUAACCUAGGAACUGCAUUUUGAAACUGAAAUACUAGAGUAUCGUAGAGGGAGGUAGAAUUCUAGGUGUAGCGGUGAAAUGCGUAGAUAUCUGGAGGAAUACCUGUGGCGAAAGCGGCCUCCUAAACGAAUACUGACACUGAGGUGCGAAAGCGUGGGGAGCAAAC